UUGGAGGGCAAGUCUGGUGCCAGCAGCCGCGGUAAUUCCAGCUCCAAUAGCGUAUAUUAAAGUUGUUGCAGUUAAAAAGCUCGUAGUUGAAUUUCGGGGUCAGUAGGUUGGUCGUGCCACCGGUACGUACUGGUCUCACUGAUUCCUCCUUCCUGAUGAGCUGUAAUGCCAUUAAUUUGGUGUUGCAGGGAAUCUGGACUGUUACUUUGAAAAAAUUAGAGUGUUUAAAGCAGGCUAACGCUUGAAUACAUUAGCAUGGAAUAAUGAAAUAGGACGUUCGAUCCUAUUUUGUUGGUUUCUAGGAUUGGCGUAAUGAUUAAUAGGGAUAGUUGGGGGCAUUAGUAUUCAAUUGUCAGAGGUGAAAUUCUUGGAUUUAUUGAAGACUAACUACUGCGAAAGCAUUUGCCAAGGAUGUUUUCAUUAAUCAAGAACGAAAGUUAGGGGAUCGAAGACGAUCAGAUACCGUCGUAGUCUUAACCAUAAACUAUGCCGACUAGGGAUCGGAUGAUGUUAAUUUUUUAAUGACUCAUUCGGCGCCUUACGGGAAAC
This 549-nucleotide ribosomal RNA is filed under the name uncultured Glomus. RNAcentral's name for it is "SSU rRNA". It matches the Rfam family "Eukaryotic small subunit ribosomal RNA", at positions 548 to 1098 of the family's 1831-position model. The record is from RNAcentral. Lineage: Eukaryota; Fungi; Glomeromycota; Glomeromycetes; Glomerales; Glomeraceae.